UUUGAGGUGACUGAGUGGCGGACGGGUGAGUAACGCGUGGGUAACCUGCCUUAUACAGGGGGAUAACAGUUGGAAACGACUGCUAAUACCGCAUAAGCGCACAGUACCGCAUGGUACGGUGUGAAAAACUCCGGUGGUAUAAGAUGGACCCGCGUCUGAUUAGCUAGUUGGUGAGGUAACGGCUUACCAAGGCAACGAUCAGUAGCCGACUUGAGAGAGUGAUCGGCCACAUUGGGACUGAGACACGGCCCAAACUCCUACGGGAGGCAGCAGUAGGGAAUAUUGCACAAUGGGGGAAACCCUGAUGCAGCGACGCCGCGUGAAGGAUGAAGUAUUUCGGUAUGUAAACUUCUAUCAGCAAGGAAGAAAAUGACGGUACUUGACUAAGAAGCCCCGGCUAAAUACGUGCCAGCAGCCGCGGUAAUACGUAUGGGGCAAGCGUUAUCCGGAUUUACUGGGUGUAAAGGGAGCGUAGGCGGUAUGGCAAGUCAGAAGUGAAAGCCUGGGGCUCAACCCCGGAAUUGCUUUUGAAACUGUCAAACUAGAGUGUCGGAGGGGUAAGCGGAAUUCCUAGUGUAGCGGUGAAAUGCGUAGAUAUUAGGAGGAACACCGGU
Molecule: ribosomal RNA, 614 nt
Filed under: uncultured bacterium
Lineage: Bacteria
Description: bacterial SSU rRNA
Rfam family: Bacterial small subunit ribosomal RNA
Source: RNAcentral